AAGCUGGUAGGAACUUUCCUUCAUCCUUUCCUCUUUUCCGAAUAUUUUGAAGGUGCAGUUAAUUUGUGAAGUCUUGUUACACUCAUUGUAUGGGCCUAUUAAGGUUUUGUUAUGAAAACAAUAGGAACUUAAAUACCCAUGUGAAAUGCGCCUUGCAUUGACCAACACGAAAGGAGGACGUUUGGUAUUUUAAAAUAGUUUAUUUUAUGGUAUCUUUUGAGGGGAUAGGAUUUACUUUUAGAAACAAUCUACACAUGGAAUCCAGUCUCUUAAAAUCCUGGGGUGAAGCAAUUGUUAAUUUUUCCAUUUCUCUUUGUAUUUUAAAGGUUUGAUAAAUGAUUUAGAUCUUUUUCUUCCUAAUACACGAAGAAUGAUAGUUGGAAAUUCUGAUUUAGUUUAGUACUUAGUCAGAAUGGAGGCCCCAUAAGAUUUUUAAAAUACUUUGGCUGUUUUCCCCACACAGUCUUCAUUGCAUUUUAUCCAAAACAAAAAGGUCUUGAUCAAAUUACAUGAAAAACGACUAGACAUCAUUUUAGAUCUGUGCUGCAUCUAACAGUAUACUAAUUAAAACCUUUCAAAAACCG
This is a long non-coding RNA of Homo sapiens (human), 584 nucleotides long. NCBI's taxonomy places the organism in Eukaryota, Metazoa, Chordata, Mammalia, Primates, Hominidae. The record is from Ensembl.